RNAcentral lists this ribosomal RNA (603 nucleotides) under Triticum aestivum (bread wheat). RNAcentral describes it as "partial small subunit ribosomal RNA". The record is from RNAcentral. Lineage: Eukaryota; Viridiplantae; Streptophyta; Magnoliopsida; Poales; Poaceae.
AUGGAGCACGCGCAGGACGAGCUCAGCCUCGAGCUCACCCUGGCCGCCGCUGUCGUGGCUCCAGCUCCCGGCUUCUUCCUAUGCGUCUACUGCCACCGCAAGUUCCGCAGCUCGCAGGCCCUCGGCGGCCACCAGAACGCCCACAAGCAAGAACGCGCCGCUAAGCGCCUCCGUGAGACUGCGCUCGCCACCGCGCAUGCUUGGAAUCCGGGGAGGGCUGCCGGCGCUGUUUGGGUGUCCGAGGAGUCAGCAGCAGCAGGUGGCAUGGCGCACAAGAGCAGCAGGAUCUCGUCGGAGCGCGACCACGAGGUGGACUUGUCCCUCCGGCUAUAUAUAGUCGGUCGGCCAAUCCAUAGAUCUCUGCUAGUAUCCUUUCUCCGCACCAUUCUGUUUCCUGUGCUAGAGUUUAUGAUUGGAUUAAUGACUAGAGUAAUUUGCAAGGGAGGGAGGAUGCAAAGCUGGGAAGUGACCAUGUGCAAAGCUGCUAGAGCGAGUCACGUCCAAAAUAAUUUUGGGCACAAAGAAGUUGGGCGUUGUGGAUUCCUAGGCUGGGAGAUGGAUCUUGAUUGUGGUGGCUUUAGUGUCAAUUGCUCCUUUUCUUAG